AUUUUAGUAGAUUUUAUAUAUCAUUUUUUGUUUUGUUUUAUAGGAAAUGCUUGAUGAAGCUGAUUAUGAUGGGGAUGGAGAAAUAAAUGAGGAAGAAUUUUUGAAAAUGAUGAAGAAGACCGCUUUUUAAUACUGUUCUUUUCUGUCCCAUUUGUUAUAUGAUUCAAUAAUGUAAGAUCUGAAUGGAUUCAUUUUCAAUUUUUAGUUUGUCCACACAGAUUGGUCUCUUGGUGUCUGUGUGAAAAGUUGUGUUUCUACCAAUAUUGUUAUAUUUGCCAUACAAAGAAACAAAACAUGAGAGCUUCCUUGAGCCAGGAAUGUAAGAGCAGUGUUAAUCCCAACUGCUUUUUUUAAGUGGGUUCCACAGACUUAGAAUUUUAUUGAAGUUUAUUGCAGUUGGCCCCACAUCCAAAUGAAUCUGGCAAACAAACCAUUAUUAUUGUGUGACUAAAAAAGCAGAUUAGCAUUGUCUUUUUAAUCACUUCUUCAAAUAUGUAAAAAAUAAAACUGGUUGGCAACUAAGUUGUUUGCUAA
This 534-nucleotide long non-coding RNA is filed under the name Marmota monax (woodchuck). The record is from RNAcentral. Lineage: Eukaryota; Metazoa; Chordata; Mammalia; Rodentia; Sciuridae.